RNAcentral lists this long non-coding RNA (2525 nucleotides) under Gossypium barbadense (sea-island cotton). RNAcentral describes it as "long non-coding RNA (GBAR_LNC021895)". The record is from RNAcentral. Lineage: Eukaryota; Viridiplantae; Streptophyta; Magnoliopsida; Malvales; Malvaceae.
UCUUCUUUUCCCCUGUUGUCAUCCCCCUCUCUAGCUCCUUUCUCUUCUUCCUCCUUUGUGCCGCCCAAUAUUCUACUCUCCAUUAUUGCCACCAUCUCCUUGGCCAUUUGGUUGCCAAUUUUUCCACUAUCCACUUUUGAACCUCAUUGUUGUCAUCUCUACUCUCUUCUUUUUCUUCCUCUAUCAUCGCCGUGGUGAGCAACCACCAUUCUUGUCGCUGUCGUCCAUUGUUCCUUCUUCUUUUCCUUUCCCUUGUCACAUUUUAUUGUUGUUGAAAUCUCGUUAUAAGCCUUAGGUCAAAUCUCUUUUUAGCACUCGUUGGUGAGUACUCAUCUUUUCUAUGUUAACUACAGAUCCAUAACGGAAAGUGUAAGUAACUUUUUAGGUAAUUAGAUCUAAGAUAUUUUCUUAUUUUUCUUAUUUUGUGAUAGUUAGGUCUCACCUAUUUAAUUCUAUUUAUAUUUGAUUGGUUCUAAAUCUAGAUCCAAACCCCUUAGAUCAACAAUAACUUUGAUGAACUAUUCGCAACUCCGUUAGAAGCCAAAUAGGGUAAGUGUUAAGUUACGACUUCAUAUCUGAAAUUUUGGUUAAAAUUUCUGCUUUGGUUGAACCCUAUAUGAGUGUUAGGAGGAUGAUUUUUAAUGAUUAAACCUUUUUGGGUACAGAUCUAAGUUAUAGCUAAUUGGAUCUCAAGCAUAAAAGUUGCGGAAAAGUGAUAGAGUUCGAUUUAGUGCAAUCAGGUGUGGGUCUAACCUUUGGGUGUUUAAUUGACUAUAUUUAAUAAUGUUAUGUGCAUGAUAAACCAAAAUACAUGCUGAUUUGUGCGUGGCCGAACGAUCAUGAGUGGAUUAAAAGUUGCUGAUUAAGGUAAGUACUAAAAAGGGGUAGUGGCCAAAUGCUUAACUGAUAUUAAAUGAUAGAGUGAGUGCCAACUAUAAUUACUAUUAAUGUGUUUUCUGAUUUGUAUGACAUGUUACUGUUAAUGAAUGCAUGAUUAAGCAUGCCAUUGAGAUUGUUAAACCAGAACCAUGAUAAGCAUGCCACUGAAAUUGUUAAACUGAAAGCAUGAUAAACAUGCCAUUGAUAUUGUUACUAUUACCGAAUAGCAUGAUAUGUUACAUGAUUGAUAUGCCAUAUUGCAUUUGCAUGGGUUUGGGGAUUGAUUGGGUGAUAGAGGAGUUCUGUGGAUUAUUGACAGUUUAUCUGCAACUUAUUGGCGAAUUAUCCACAAACCAUUGGUAGCUUGAUUGCAAAAUUGUUAUUGGUGAAUUAUUUGCAAACCAAAUUGAUAGUUUAUUUGCCAGAUUGAUAUUGGUGGUUCAACCACACUGAGCUUCGGCUUGUCACAUCCAUUUCUGUAGUAACUACUAUUAAUAAUCCAGUAAGUAAUGUUGGAAAAACAUGUUUGGAAAAUGCAGCGAAAAAUAAGUUUAAGAGAAAAACUAAAUUUUUAAAAAAAAUUUCCAAAACAAGAACUUAGUUGUGAUAUUUAAAGUAAUAAACACUUAAUCAAAAUUGUACCUUUUCGAUUUGUGUAGGAUGAAUGCUUCGACCGAUUAGUCUUCUCCGCUAUCCUCAAGUUCACGUCUGCCGAGUGUGGGCUCGUUUUGAAUAAAAAAAUUCACAAAAUUACUAGUGGGGUAAUUUCACAAUUUCUUUAAACUUUUGGGUCAAUUUAUAUAUAAGAAAAAUAUCUCUAAAAUUCUUUUGAAAUAAUUUCUUCAAAGAAUUUUCUCUCUACAACUUUUUUUUAGAAUUCAUGUGAAAAGUAAUAACCUAAGGCUCUCUUUAUAUAGGGAAAGUUUAAAGAGUUCCAUUAUGAUUAAACUUAAUCACUUUAAUAUUAAAUUAAUAGAAUAUUUAUCUACAAAAUAAUUAUUAAAAUUAAUUUAAUAUUAAGCUAAUCACUUUAAUAGUAAAUUAAUAAAAUAUUAUUAAGAUAAGUAUUAAAUUAAAUUUAAUAUUAAAUCUAUUAAAAUAUUAUUAUUUUUAGAAUAGUUAAUUUAAAAUCAAAUUAUCCGGUAGAGUUCUAGUAUGAGUGUAAUUCCUCCACUGCUCAAACGUCGAAGGACCACUCGCCGGCCACCAGAAUGGCGUCAUUGCAACCGCUGACACCAUAGUGCCCGGUGGUGCAGGUGCGACACCCUCACAGCACCUUGAGCUGGUUCAGCUAUUAUCGAUUCAAUACGGACCAGUGACGGCCGACCAAUCCAAUCCAACCAUCGAUGGGACCGUCGACUUGAUUUCACAUUUCAGGUCCGAUUCGACCAGUUUUUGGGUCUCGGUCUUGAUUUUAGGUUCUCGGGCCCAAUUUUCGAUUUGAAGUCUAAUUUUUAAGUUUAAUUACCCAUUGGGCUAAUUAUUUGACUUGAAAAUUAAUUUUCAAAAAUAUCAUAUUAAUUCUAAUUGAUUUGAUUAAUUUAAUUUUACUUUAUCAAAAUUCAUUUUCUUAAAAAUUACUAAGAUUUUCCAUUUUAAUUUUUCAAUAAAAUUAUUUAAUCAAAUUCUCUAGUUAAACAAUUCUC